This is an RNA transcript of Anastrepha ludens (Mexican fruit fly), 2396 nucleotides long. It is a transcript of the gene named G protein-activated inward rectifier potassium channel 3, with no coding region annotated. The transcript has 6 exons. NCBI's taxonomy places the organism in Eukaryota, Metazoa, Arthropoda, Insecta, Diptera, Tephritidae. The record is from RefSeq and is a predicted model, not a curated record.
CACAGUCAUUCGGCCACUCACUUACUCAGUCCGUGUUAGUUUGUCCCCCAGUACACGUUUGUCCAGCUCAUUUCGUAGAGGUGGAUCUAGUAACUUGGACAAUUGAUUUAUAAGCGGAUUCCUCGCCAUAUCGUUAUUGAAAGCUCGUUGUGCAUAAGGAUUGUGGAAGUGACAGUGCGUGGAAAUCGUGUGGUGUUGACAGGACAUAAGGGAUAUAUAAAAGUGAAGAGUUGUGAGGAUGUAAUGAUGUACGCCAACUCACAGUUGUAAAUGAAAAUGCUACAAAAACAAAAUUUCUCUUUUUAAAUUGCUAAUUCACAAAAAUUAUGCUGAGAUACCUUUAAUUGCUUAGUUUUCAAUGUUAUUUAGUAAUUUUAGCAUUAAAGCGAGUGCGCUUUUGAAGUGUCCGAGCUCAUUUUUUCAAGUGUAGAUAUUGAAGAUUGAAGAAGUGGUUUAUUUUUCAAUUAUCUUUCACUUGGCUUUGAGCUGAAAGUAUUUGCCAUAAUUACAAAUCUUUAUUAAAGCUAUCAUUUGCGUGCUUUGAAGAUGCGUUUUAACAUAUUGAACACUUUGCAACCCGCCCUUGUGGAGAAGACAUCUGUCUCUAGUUCUGAGCAGUACUCACUCUCAACACCAUUAAAGGCGUCAUCCCCACCUCCGCGUCUACAACGCCAAGUUACCAUAGAGGCAGAGCCUGAUUCACUCGAUAGUGUUAUCAGUAACCCACAGUCGUAUCCAAUAACAAUCGUACCAAAUCGGCCGGCAAGUUUCUAUGGCUAUCCGACAAAUGGUGGCAGAACUUUUAAUCGGCAGACAAGUUCCAGAUCGCGCAAUUUCCGGCCGGGCAGCAUGCGCAAAGUGCGUCGUCGCGCAGUCUUCAAAAAUGGCGAAUGCAACGUUUUGCAAAAAAAUCUGAUGCGUCGCCGUUUGCGCUUCAUGCAGGACCUCUAUACCACGCUUGUCGACUCACAAUGGCGCUGGACGCUGCUCGUAUUCGCGCUCUCUUUCGUACUCUCCUGGCUAUUCUUUGCUUUGCUCUGGUGGCUUAUCGUGUACACACACGGCGAUCUGGAGGAGAUGCAUUUGCCAGAAAAUCAAGAGGAAUCCGGUUGGACGCCUUGCGUUUCCGCUAUACACGGCUUCACUUCGUGCUUCCUCUUCUCGAUAGAGACACAACACACCAUUGGUUAUGGUGUGCGCACCACAUCAGAAGAGUGCCCUGAGGCUAUAUUUAUGAUGUGCUUCCAAUCCAUAUUUGGUGUCAUGACUUCUGCUUUCAUGGGCGGCAUCGUCUUUGCCAAAAUGACACGCGCCAAGCAACGCGCCCAAACGUUGCUCUUCUCCAAAUAUGCUGUGAUUUGUCAGCGCGAUGGCGGCUUGUCGCUGAUGUUUCGCGUCGGUGAUAUGCGGAAGUCGCAUAUCAUUGGCGCGGCCGUGCGCGCUCAGCUCAUACGCACACGCAGCACUAAGGAGGGUGAGGUGAUGUCGCAGCAUUUCACCGAGCUGGAAAUCGGUGCCGAUGAUUGUGGCUCGGAUUUGUUUUUCAUUUGGCCGAUGAUUAUUGAGCAUAAAAUCGAUGAGAAUUCGCCAUUUUACAGUAUGUCUGCCACCGACAUAUUGCAGGAUAAAUUCGAAUUGGUUGUGAUUUUGGAGGGUACUGUUGAGUCGACCGGCCAAUCGACGCAGGCACGUUCGAGUUAUGUGAACACGGAGAUAUUGUGGGGUCAUCGCUUUGAUCCGGUCGUAAUGUACAACAAAGAUUUGCAGGCUUACGAAAUUGAUUAUUCGCGUUUCAAUGAGACAACACAAGUGGAUACGCCGCUAUGCAGCGCGCGAGAAUUGAAUGAGAUCUACAAGAUUCAGGAGGGCUUUAGGACGCCAGAAACCACAUUCACCGCGCGUCAGUUGUCCACCAACCACUCCGAUAAUUGAGAAAUAGAAAAAUUAAUAAUAAUUUCCUUACAUACAUACAUACAAAAUAAGUGCACUUCACAUUGCCAUCAGUAUACGUACCACGAGCACAUCCAUAAGAGAAAAUAUAAAUAUCGACUUGUUGUUUUUUAAUAGUGUGUAUUUGUGUGCCCUUGUAUUUGUUAAAUAAAUGUACGAGUAAAUGUACUGACAAAAAAGCUUAAAGUAAAAUUGUUGCUUAAUAACAUCUCGAACCACUUAGUAACGACUUAGAUAUGCACAUUUAAAAAUAAAUAAAAUAGCGGCAAAUGGUUUGGCAAACUUAAAAAUACACCUGUAAUCCGCUGCAAUCAUCCCAUCGCCGUUGUCCUGCAUUUGUUUUGUCCAACUACAUGCUUCGCAAUCCGCUGCUGCGCUGCGUUUCAUAUGAGCCUCAGUGUCGGGGUCUGAGUUCGCUGUCGCCAGAUACAAAACUUCUUAAGCAU